This 129-nucleotide long non-coding RNA is filed under the name Homalodisca vitripennis (glassy-winged sharpshooter). RNAcentral's name for it is "uncharacterized LOC124374550". The record is from RNAcentral. Lineage: Eukaryota; Metazoa; Arthropoda; Insecta; Hemiptera; Cicadellidae.
GAGACAGCAAUACAAAAACUGAACAAUGCCUGUUAGUAGCACAUAAAAUAAAUAAGCAUCUAUGAUUUUCAAUUUCUUAGGUGUGUUGUUUGCAUAUUCAUCAUAAAACUUGAAAACCACUGUGUUCAA